This is a non-coding RNA of Pelodiscus sinensis (Chinese soft-shelled turtle), 166 nucleotides long. The record is from RefSeq and is a predicted model, not a curated record. NCBI's taxonomy places the organism in Eukaryota, Metazoa, Chordata, Testudines, Trionychidae.
CCGAGGAGGAGGAGGAUCCUAGGACCCAGUUUUCCUGUUAAGUUACCAAUCCCUCUCUGAGUCGAAGAACAGCAGAAAAUUCAUGCUCUGGGAAUUAAAGGGACUUGAGAGCUGUCCCGGGGGAGAGAAAACAACCUCAGCCCUCUCUCACUACAGCAACUUGAGG